Molecule: non-coding RNA, 148 nt
Filed under: Homo sapiens (human)
Lineage: Eukaryota; Metazoa; Chordata; Mammalia; Primates; Hominidae
Source: Rfam by way of RNAcentral
GCCGGGUGUGGUGGCGUGCACCUGUAAUCUCAGCUACUCAGGAGGCUGAGGCAGGAGAAUCGCUUGAACCCGGGAGGUGAAUAUUGCAGUGAGCCGAGAUCAUGCCACUGCACUCCAGCCUGGGUGACAGAGUGAGACUCUGUCUCAA